UGUGAAUUGCAGAAUUCCGUGAAUCAUCGAAUCUUUGAACGCAUAUGGCGCUCGAGGCUUCGGCCAAGAGCAUGUCUGCCUCAGCGUCGGGUU
This 93-nucleotide ribosomal RNA is filed under the name Spongiochloris spongiosa. RNAcentral's name for it is "partial 5.8S ribosomal RNA". It matches the Rfam family "5.8S ribosomal RNA", at positions 66 to 154 of the family's 154-position model. Rfam says of the family: 5.8S ribosomal RNA (5.8S rRNA) is a component of the large subunit of the eukaryotic ribosome. It is transcribed by RNA polymerase I as part of the 45S precursor that also contains 18S and 28S rRNA. The record is from RNAcentral. Lineage: Eukaryota; Viridiplantae; Chlorophyta; Chlorophyceae; Chlamydomonadales; Protosiphonaceae.